AGACAGCAGUCGCCGCGGUAAUACGUAGGUCCCGAGCGUUGUCCGGAUUUAUUGGGCGUAAAGCGCGCGCAGGUGGUUUAAUAAGUCUGAUGUGAAAGCCCACGGCUCAACCGUGGAGGGUCAUUGGAAACUGUUAAACUUGAGUGCAGGAGAGAAAAGUGGAAUUCCUAGUGUAGCGGUGAGAUGCGUAGAGAUUAGGAGGAACACCAGUGGCGAAGGCGGCUUUUUGGCCUGUAACUGACACUGAGGCGCGAAAGCGUGGGGAGCAAACAGGAUUAGAUACCCGAGUAGUCCCUGUCUCUUAUAC
RNAcentral lists this ribosomal RNA (307 nucleotides) under uncultured bacterium. Its description in RNAcentral is "partial 16S ribosomal RNA". It matches the Rfam family "Bacterial small subunit ribosomal RNA", at positions 506 to 807 of the family's 1533-position model. The record is from RNAcentral.